GGAGGAAAGCAGGGGAUCGCAAGACCUUGCGCUUUUGGAGCGGCCGAUGCCUGAUUAGCUUGUUGGUGAGGUAAAAGCUCACCAAGGCUUCGAUCAGUAGCUGGUCUGAGAGGACGACCAGCCACACUGGGACUGAGACACGGCCCAGACUCCUACGGGAGGCAGCAGUGGGGAAUUUUGGACAAUGGGGGCAACCCUGAUCCAGCCAUGCCGCGUGAGUGAAGAAGGCCUUCGGGUUGUAAAGCUCUUUCAGCCGGAACGAAACGGUUACGGUUAAUACCCGUGACUACUGACGGUACCGGAAGAAGAAGCACCGGCUAACUACGUGCCAGCAGCCGCGGUAAUACGUAGGGUGCGAGCGUUAAUCGGAAUUACUGGGCGUAAAGCGUGCGCAGGUGGUUUUGUAAGUCAGAUGUGAAAUCCCCCCGGCUUAACCUGGGAACUGCGUUUGAAACUACAAAGCUAGA
This 467-nucleotide ribosomal RNA is filed under the name uncultured beta proteobacterium. Its description in RNAcentral is "bacterial SSU rRNA". It matches the Rfam family "Bacterial small subunit ribosomal RNA", at positions 198 to 645 of the family's 1533-position model. The record is from RNAcentral. Lineage: Bacteria; Pseudomonadati; Pseudomonadota; Betaproteobacteria.